GCCGGGGUGGCGGAAUUGGCAGACGCUACGGACUUAAAAUCCGUUGGGACGAGGGUCUCGUGUGGGUUCAACUCCCAUCCCCGGCACCA
Molecule: transfer RNA, 89 nt
Filed under: Kosmotogaceae bacterium
Lineage: Bacteria; Thermotogati; Thermotogota; Thermotogae; Kosmotogales; Kosmotogaceae
Description: tRNA-Leu
Rfam family: tRNA
About the family: Transfer RNA (tRNA) molecules are approximately 80 nucleotides in length.
Source: RNAcentral